CGAAUGCUGACGUGAGUAACGACAAAACGGGUGAAAAACCCGUUCGCCGAAAGACCAAGGGUUCCAGUCCAACGUUAAUCGGGGCUGGGUGAGUCGACCCCUAAGGCGAGGCCGAAAGGCGUAGUCGAUGGGAAAAUGGUUAAUAUUCCAUUACUUCUGUGUAAUGCGAUGAGAGGACGGAGAAGGCUAAAUCAGCCUGGCGUUGGUUGUCCAGGUGAAAGGAUGUAGGCAUGUAUCUUAGGCAAAUCCGGGGUACUCUAUGCUGAGAUCUGAUAGCAAGCUGUACUUGUACAGCGAAGUGGUUGAUGCCAUGCUUCCAGGAAAAGUCUCUAAGCUUCAGUUACACAGGAAUCGUACCCGAAACCGACACAGGUGGUCAGGUCGAGUAGACCAAGGCGCUUGAGAGAACUCUGCUGAAGGAACUAGGCAAAAUGGUACCGUAACUUCGGGAGAAGGUACGCUGUUGUUGGUGAUGGAACUCGCUUCCUGAGCUGACGACAGCCGCAGAAACCAGGCCGCUGCAACUGUUUAUUAAAAACAUAGCACUCUGCAAACACGAAAGUGGACGUAUAGGGUGUGAUGCCUGCCCGGUGCUGGAAGGUUAAUUGAUGGGGUUAGCGUAAGCGAAGCUCUUGAUCGAAGCCCCAGUAAACGGCGGCCGUAACUAUAACGGUCCUAAGGUAGCGAAAUUCCUUGUCGGGUAAGUUCCGACCUGCACGAAUGGCAUAAUGAUGGCGGCGCUGUCUCCAGCAGAGGCUCAGUGAAAUCGAAAUCGCUGUGAAGAUGCAGUGUACCCGCGGCUAGACGGAAAGACCCCGUGAACCUUUACUGCAGCUUGACACUGAACUUUGACCUUACUUGUGUAGGAUAGGUGGGAGGCUUUGAAGCUGGAACGCUAGUUCCAGUGGAGCCGUCCUUGAAAUACCACCCUGGUAAUGUUGAGGUUCUAACUCUGUCCCGUGAUCCGGGACGAGGACCGUGUCUGGUGGGUAGUUUGACUGGGGCGGUCUCCUCCUAAAGAGUAACGGAGGAGUACGAAGGUGCGCUCAGCGUGGUCGGAAAUCACGCGUAGAGUAUAAAGGCAAAAGCGCGCUUAACUGCGAGACCCACAAGUCGAGCAGGUACGAAAGUAGGUCUUAGUGAUCCGGUGGUUCUGUAUGGAAGGGCCAUCGCUCAACGGAUAAAAGGUACUCUGGGGAUAACAGGCUGAUACCGCCCAAGAGUUCAUAUCGACGGCGGUGUUUGGCACCUCGAUGUCGGCUCAUCUCAUCCUGGGGCUGAAGCAGGUCCCAAGGGUAUGGCUGUUCGCCAUUUAAAGAGGUACGCGAGCUGGGUUUAGAACGUCGUGAGACAGUUCGGUCCCUAUCUACCGUGGGCGCUGGAAAUUUGAGAGGAUCUGCUCCUAGUACGAGAGGACCAGAGUGGACGAACCUCUGGUGUACCGGUUGUGACGCCAGUCGCAUCGCCGGGUAGCUAUGUUCGGAAGGGAUAACCGCUGAAAGCAUCUAAGCGGGAAGCCUACCUCAAGAUAAGAUUUCCCUAGGACUUUAUGUCCUCUAAAGAGCCGUUCGAGACUAGGACGUUGAUAGGUUGGAUGUGGAAGCAUAGUGAUAUGUGAAGCUGACCAAUACUAAUUGCUCGUGAGGCUUGACUAUACAACACCCAAGCAGUUG
Molecule: ribosomal RNA, 1673 nt
Filed under: Acinetobacter baumannii
Lineage: Bacteria; Pseudomonadati; Pseudomonadota; Gammaproteobacteria; Moraxellales; Moraxellaceae
Description: partial 23S ribosomal RNA
Rfam family: Bacterial large subunit ribosomal RNA
Source: RNAcentral